Molecule: ribosomal RNA, 497 nt
Filed under: uncultured bacterium
Lineage: Bacteria
Description: partial 16S ribosomal RNA
Rfam family: Bacterial small subunit ribosomal RNA
Source: RNAcentral
GAUGAACGCUGGCGGCGUGCCUAAUACAUGCAAGUCGAGCGAACAGACGAGGAGCUUGCUCCUCUGACGUUAGCGGCGGACGGGUGAGUAACACGUGGAUAACCUACCUAUAAGACUGGGAUAACUUCGGGAAACCGGAGAUAAUACCGGAUAAUAUAUUGAACCGCAUGGGUCAAUAGUGAAAGACGGUUUUGCUGUCACUUAUAGAUGGAUCUGCGCCGCAUUAGCUAGUUGGGAAGGUAAAGGCUUACCAAGGCGACGAUGCGUAGCCGAGCUGAGAGGGUGAUCGGCCACACUGGAACGGAGACACGGUCCAGACUCCUACGGGAGGCAGCAGUAGGGAAUCUUCCGCAAUGGGCGAAAGCCUGACGGAGCAACGCCGCGUGAGUGAUGAAGGUCUUCGGAUCGUAAAACUCUGUUAUUAGGGAAGAACAAAUGUGUAAGUAACUAUGCACGUCUUGACGGUACCUAACCAGAAAGCCACGGCUAACUACGUG